Molecule: transfer RNA, 73 nt
Filed under: Anguilla anguilla (European eel)
Lineage: Eukaryota; Metazoa; Chordata; Actinopteri; Anguilliformes; Anguillidae
Description: tRNA-OTHER
Source: RNAcentral
GGCACAGUGGUGCAGUGGAUAGCACUGUCACCUCACAUAAAAAAUGUCCCAGGUUCCAAUCCUGGCUGAGGAA